This 628-nucleotide ribosomal RNA is filed under the name uncultured bacterium. Its description in RNAcentral is "bacterial SSU rRNA". It matches the Rfam family "Bacterial small subunit ribosomal RNA", at positions 56 to 680 of the family's 1533-position model. The record is from RNAcentral.
UGCAGUCGAACGGUAGCAGGAAGUGCUUGCACUUUGCUGACGAGUGGCGGACGGGUGAGUAAUACUUAGGAACAUGCCUUUGUGUGGGGGAUAACCAUUGGAAACGAUGGCUAAUACCGCAUAAUGUCUUUGGACCAAAGAGGGCUUUCGGGCUCUCGCGCAAAGAGUGGCCUAAGUGAGAUUAGCUUGUUGGUGAGGUAAAGGCUCACCAAGGCGACGAUCUCUAGCUGUUCUGAGAGGAAGAUCAGCCACACUGGGACUGAGACACGGCCCAGACUCCUACGGGAGGCAGCAGUGGGGAAUAUUGCACAAUGGGGGCAACCCUGAUGCAGCCAUGCCGCGUGUGUGAAGAAGGCCUUCGGGUUGUAAAGCACUUUCAGUUGUGAGGAAAGGUUGAUGGUUAAUACCCAUCAGCUGUGACGUUAGCAACAGAAGAAGCACCGGCUAACUCCGUGCCAGCAGCCGCGGUAAUACGGAGGGUGCGAGCGUUAAUCGGAAUUACUGGGCGUAAAGCGCACGCAGGCGGUUUGUUAAGCUAGAUGUGAAAGCCCUGGGCUCAACCUGGGAAUUGCAUUUAGAACUGGCAGGCUAGAGUUUUGGAGAGGGGAGUGGAAUUCCAGGUGUAGCG